This 385-nucleotide long non-coding RNA is filed under the name Mytilus galloprovincialis (Mediterranean mussel). The record is from RNAcentral. Lineage: Eukaryota; Metazoa; Mollusca; Bivalvia; Mytilida; Mytilidae.
AGGAAAUUAAACCUAAAACUUUGUGAAAAUUUAAUCUGAAAUCGAAUAUUUUGUCUAAUCAAAUAUAUAUAUUAUUGGAAAGAGUUAAAUGAUGACGAUAGCAUUAUCAAAAUAGUCUUUACCUUAAAAGAGAAUUGAGGAUCUAGAACAUAUUUGUAUGUUAUUGAAUGUCCUGUGGCCCUUUAUAGCUUGCUGUUCGGUGUUAGCCAAGGCUCCGUGUCGAAGACCUACAUGUUUAAUGGUUUACUUUUACAUAUUGUGACUUAGAUUGAGAGUUGUCUCAUUAUCACUCAUACCACAUCUUCUUAUAUCUUUUGUUUUGUACUUCAUAUCAUGUUUUAAGUUUAUUUUUACUGACUAUUUAUUGUUGUCCAAUAAAAAUAGC